GACAGAGGGUGCAACCGUUGUUCGGAAUUACUGGGCGUAAAGCGCGUGUAGGCGGCCAGCCCAAGUCGGGUGUGAAAGCCCUGGGCUCAACCUAGGAAGUGCACUCGAGACUGAAUAGCUAGGGUACGGUAGAGGGAAGUGGAAUUUCCGGUGUAGCGGUGAAAUGCGUAGAUAUCGGAAGGAACAUCAGUGGCGAAAGCGACUUCCUGGACCAGUACAGACGUUCAGGCACGAAAGCGUGGGGAGCAAACAGG
This 254-nucleotide ribosomal RNA is filed under the name uncultured bacterium. RNAcentral describes it as "partial 16S ribosomal RNA". It matches the Rfam family "Bacterial small subunit ribosomal RNA", at positions 524 to 776 of the family's 1533-position model. The record is from RNAcentral.